GAUGAACGCUGGCGGCGUGCAUAACACAUUCAAGUCGAACGAAGCACUUUGGGACGAUCCCUUCGGGGUGAAGCCUGAUUUGACUUAGUGGCGGACGGGUGAGUAACGCGUGAGCAACCUGCCUUUCAUUGCGGGAUAACGGCCGGAAACAGCCGCUAAUACCGCAUAAUGUAGUGAGAUCGCAUGGUUUUACACCAAAGAUUUAUUGAUGAAAGAUGGGCUCGCGUCUGAUUAGAUAGUUGGUGAGGUAACGGCUCACCAAGUCGACGAUCAGUAGCCGGACUGAGAGGUUGAACGGCCACAUUGGGACUGAGACACGGCCCAGACUCCUACGGGAGGCAGCAGUGGGGAAUAUUGCACAAUGGGGAAACCCUGAUGCAGCAACGCCGCGUGAAGGUCA
This 400-nucleotide ribosomal RNA is filed under the name uncultured bacterium. RNAcentral's name for it is "bacterial SSU rRNA". It matches the Rfam family "Bacterial small subunit ribosomal RNA", at positions 28 to 410 of the family's 1533-position model. The record is from RNAcentral.